CUUUUCACAAAAACCCUUCUUUCUCUUUGUCUUUCUAAAAAUGGGGUUUCUCUCUCUAGAAACUCUUGUGUUAUUGCAUCUCUCAGUCCUUUUAUUGAGUUGUUUGAAUGUGCUUGGUAGUUAUGAUGGUGUAAUGAGUAUAGCAGAUACACCCGAUAAGAGACCUCAACCUCCUAGCCAAGAGACCGCUAAGCCACCGGUUCAACCAGCUCCAAGCCAUGCACCAACUCAACCUCCAAGCCAUGCACAAACUCAACCUCCAAGCCGUGCGCCAACUCAACCUCCAAGCCGUACGCCGAGUCCUCUGCCGCCGAGGAAGUUUGUAGCUGUGCAAGGUGUUGUUUACUGUAAGGACUGCAAGUAUUUAGGGAUCAAUACCCU
This 381-nucleotide long non-coding RNA is filed under the name Panax ginseng (ginseng). RNAcentral describes it as "long non-coding RNA (PGIN_LNC009860)". The record is from RNAcentral. Lineage: Eukaryota; Viridiplantae; Streptophyta; Magnoliopsida; Apiales; Araliaceae.